Sesamum indicum (sesame) is the source of this 857-nucleotide non-coding RNA. The record is from RefSeq and is a predicted model, not a curated record. Lineage: Eukaryota; Viridiplantae; Streptophyta; Magnoliopsida; Lamiales; Pedaliaceae.
AUAAAAAUGCAGACACAGUAACAGAGUGCUCUUCUCGACUUCUCUUCUCCUUCGCCACUGAUCCACUCUCUCCACUCUCCACGUCCAGUGGCAGCGAGUCUCUCUCCUGCGAUUUAGGCUUCGUUGUUUUUCUUCUUCGUUCUCAGAGUGACAAAGGAAUCACUCUGCACAGCCAGAUAGAACGUGCAGCCACUACUGGCCGUCCACGUGUCCCCCAUCGACGGCGCUAACAUGGGUCUGGGACCCUUUAUGAUCAGCUGUGACAGAGAGGAUUCUCUUCCUCCGCCUCCAUUGAUUUGAAGAUGCUAAUACUAUAUAACUUCCAUUCUUCUAUAUAUAUAUAUAUUGCUUCGAAGUAUACAGAGAAGAGUAGAGCAAAUUGUGUCAGGAUUUUCAUCAAUUUCUGUUUUUUGGAAGAAAAUGGAGAUUCCGAGAUUGUUGGUUCUGGUCGCAGUUUUUGCUCUUCUUUCACUACUCCUGGUUGUUCCUUCCGUCAAUGCUCAAGUCUCCGCGCCAGCUCCUGCUCCUUCAAGCGAUGGGGUAGCGAUUGAUCAAGGAAUAGCAUAUGUGUUGAUGCUGGUUGCUUUGGCUGUCACCUACAUUCUUCAUUGAUGCAUUUGAGUGAAAGCUUAUUCUUUCUCAAGUUGAUGAGUUGAUUCGUUCUGUAUAUGUUCGCCAAUUGACAGAUCUUGUUUUUUUGGAUUUGUUCUUGUUUAUUCCUUCCUUCCUUCCCCAUCUUCUCUACACAUUUAGCUGUCGCUCCCACGUAAAUUUUGUAGUUGGUGACGGAGUCACUUUGAGUAUCCACUAUCCGUCUACAUGCCCUCCAAAUAAAGAAAGGCUAAAUUGUUGAUAUU